Pieris brassicae (large cabbage white) is the source of this 424-nucleotide long non-coding RNA. RefSeq lists it as uncharacterized. NCBI's taxonomy places the organism in Eukaryota, Metazoa, Arthropoda, Insecta, Lepidoptera, Pieridae. The record is from RefSeq and is a predicted model, not a curated record. The transcript is spliced from 2 exons.
CAUUUCAUGAAUUUGGAAUUUUCGCCUUAUUCUGUGGACUGAUUCGUGAAUUAUAAUCUCGUUUCGUGGUCAUUGAUAAAAAUGUUAUUUAACGUUAACCUUUGAAUACAGCUUUCUUUUGAAAUCUUGACGUGACUUUACAUGAGUAUUUCAUUAAAUUAAUUUAGUCCCCUACGCUGGUUAUUUAAUUUUUGCAUAAUAAAUAUGUUUCGUUUACCUUUUGGAGAAAGGGUUGAUCCUAUGGAAGAAAAACGUCAAGCAAGAGAAAAUACAGUCAAUAGUGUUAUAAGUUUUUGUAUCCUUUGUGCAGCCAUACGUAUUGCACCAAUUAUUAUUGAACAGAGUGGACUAUGAUUAGACAGCUGAAAUGCAACACAAGGAACACUGUAAUAACUAGGAAAUUUAAUAAAAAAGUAGUAAAUUA